RNAcentral lists this ribosomal RNA (190 nucleotides) under Ligilactobacillus agilis. RNAcentral describes it as "Lactobacillus agilis partial 16S ribosomal RNA". It matches the Rfam family "Bacterial small subunit ribosomal RNA", at positions 1 to 172 of the family's 1533-position model. The record is from RNAcentral. Lineage: Bacteria; Bacillati; Bacillota; Bacilli; Lactobacillales; Lactobacillaceae.
CUAAAAUGAGAGUUUGAUCCUGGCUCAGGACGAACGCUGGCGGCGUGCCUAAUACAUGCAAGUCGAACGCUUUUUUCAAUCAUCGUAGCUUGCUACACCGAUUGAAAAUUGAGUGGCGAACGGGUGAGUAACACGUGGGUAACCUGCCCAAAAGAGGGGGAUAACACUUGGAAACAGGUGCUAAUACCGC